UUUUCUUUGUCGUUGCCGCCACUGCCCACCACGUGAGGUCUGUGGAGAGGGCAGAGGCGGGCGUCACGGGGGGGCUGAGGCACCCCACCCCAGGAGAGCCACCCUGGCAGACAGCCCCUGAGCCCAGAGAGGAGAGCGGGAGGGAGCAGGAGCAGCCAGGCGUGGCCCCUGGCCUGCGGGGGCGGAGGGUGGCAGUCCUCCAACCCCCAUCUCUCAGGACAGCGAAGGGGAGGAGAAGCCAGCCUUGGGGUAGGCGGGGUGGGGUCAGGGAAGACACCAGUGCCCUCAACAGCACGAGCACAGACUCUCUCUCCAGAAAGAAGCCUCCGAGCACAGGGAGGUGGGAUAGUCCAGGGGUAGGAAUCUGUAGCCCCAACCACCCGACCCAGAACUCCGACUUCCAGAAUAUACCAGACCUGAGGAGAAGGGCCCGUAACUCCUGCAAUUGGGUUUGGGAAGGGGAAACUCUCUGAGGAAAGGGAGGCCCCAGAGGGUAGGGACAGGGCAGAACCACGGGAGGAAGAGCCAAGUGGCAGAAGGAAGAGAGGAGCAGGAGGCUGUGGCAAGCCCGGUGGCCCGGGCAGGGCCAGUGCUGGCUCCAGCCCUCUCACCUGAGCGUCUCCACUCGGUCUUUGCUUUCAGGUUCAUUCAGGUUCCUCAAAAAACAGAGCGAGGGAGAGUUUAGUGCUGGGAUCUCUCGCUCCUUCCGCCGCCACAGACCCAGAUGAGAGUGGGUCUGGGGAGGUGCCACCAGUGGGUGGGCAGGACCCAAGCCCAGGGCCCUCUGCCCAUCACCUGGCAAGCCAACAGGGCUCUGCAGCACCUCACACUGGCGGCUCAACCAUUCCUUUCCAGCAGGGAGCCCAGCACAUGGGGCUUGUCCCUCCCCACAUUCCCAGAUCUGUGCCGGGGAGAAGGAGCCUCUGCUCUGGGGGAGGAGGGGGAGUGGCUGUGCACGCACUUCACUGAGCACACUGAGCACACGGCCCGGCACGAGGCUGCUCCCCCACAGCCAGGGCUCACGCGCUGUUCUGGGGGUUGCAGGUGUGAGUGCGUUUUUGGAGCCACACGCUAGGGUCUCAGGACUGCAGUCCUUUUGGAGGAAAGGGGCUGCAAUGCUUUGAAUCUCUGUAGGAGGAGGGGCCGUGGCUACGCAAGGGCCUGUCAGGAGACUCAAAGUGCCAAGGCCUGGGUCUGCAUGGUAGGCACCUGGGGAUGGCUUCCUGCUGCUGAGUGGAAAAGGCGGCCUCCUCCGACCUUUCCCAACUCCCCUACCUGCUGGCCUGCCAGGCCAUCUGCUCAUACGCAGGGAGGAUGAGGGUGGGGUGGGGCAGGGCAGGGCAGACACCUUGGUUGGGUGGGUGGGGAAGAGGUCUGGCCCCGCUGAGCGGCUUCUCCAGCUCCUGGCUGGAAGAUGGGUGUCUGGAGCUAGGAAACUGGGGAUUGCAGAGGAGGAAGGAUAUGAGAGGAAGGAGGAAGAGCAGCAGCACAUAGAAAUAAACAGGAAGACACAACCAACACAGGGGUGCACACAAGCGCACUGCGAGCAGGGAGCCCGGCUGUGCGAGGAAGGCACCCUCCCUGCUCUCUCCAGACCCCCUGUGGGGCAGCCCCCUGCUGGGGCCCCUUGAGGCAGCAGCCAGUCAUGCAGUCAACAGCUGGGUGGGAGGAGGAGGGGAUAGGGAAAGCCUGAAGACCCUGUCUGGACGUUCCUCCAUCAGCUGUGGCACCAAUGUGCCUGCCAGGCAUCCCAGUCCCAAUGCAGGGCCUGAGCAGACAGCCUUGGGGAACAAGCACUCUUAACCUGGCCCUUGGUCUUCAGCUUGGUAUUUGGUCCCCGAGGCCUGCAGAGAGGAUGAGCAUAAGGCCAGGGGUGAAAGAGCCAGGAAGGGGACUGUGAAGGGAGACCCCUGAGUAAGGGUGCAGAGAUCUCCUGUUGUUUUGCUACGGCUUGGGGUAGAAUGGCCGUUGCCCUAGAAUGUCCCAGCUCCCCGCACUUUGGAAGAGACAGGCCAUAUCUGGAGAAAACAGCCUAGAGGAGAAGAGGCUUGAUUUAUCCAGAUGCUGCUGGUGGCAGGGGUGCUGGGGCAGGGGUGCGGGUGGGUGGGGCUAGUUCUGCAGGAGCUGCCAGGAGGGGGUGCUGUGCUCCAUUUGUGAGACAAAAGCUCCUAAGGUCUGGGGGAGCCAGACUGAAACCUUGGGGCCCCAGGGUCCCCGUAGUGUCUCCAAAGUCCUGCGAUCCCAUAGGCCACGGGGAAGAGGUCACAUAGCUCUGAAGUUCAGGAAACCCAGGAGACAACAAACAAGAUACCAUCCCAGAUGCACUUGUAACCCUGGAGCUUCCUCAUAGCGCAUGCACAUGACAAGGGAAAGGGCAGGAAAGGAUCCCAACACUUGUGACCAAAACCUGGGGUGAGAGGGAGUGGGGGUGGGGUGGGGUGGGUGAGAGGAGACAAUCUUAAAGGGAGGCUUCCCUGAGACAGUCUCCCCUUACUUGAGGACAGGCGUUAACUGUGGGCCCAAGGAAGGCCCUCAUUUUUAAAGCCAUUUGCCCUGAGUGGGCCAAUGUGGCCUCUUAGCCCUGCCUGUUUGUACUGGGGGCACGGAGGGCAGGCCUUGUGCUGAUGCCCAAUCAGAGGCAGUCUUCAUCCCUUUAAGAUGGCAGAGAGAGGAGGGCCACACAGACUUGGUUAAGCAGAUGGAGGAGAGUAAGAGCCAGAAAAGGGGAGUUAGUGAUGGAGGCAGGACACAGGACACAGACACACACACACACACACACACACAGCGGGCUCAACGCCUACCUUCUGGCAAACCUGAAAGACAGAUUUCUAAAAAAACAAACAAAAAAAAGACAAAAUAAAAAAAGAAAUAAAAAAAAAACCAACAAGACGGUAUGUGGAUAAGCAGGUGGGGGAGGUGGCUUUACAGGUUCAAGGGUCAUCCCAUUUUCGGAAGAGCCGCUCAGCGAGACUAGAGUCCCAGGCUUUCAGACCUGCCCACACUCUCUGCAGGCCUCACACUUGCAUUCUGGGGCUCGGAUGGGGCAGUGGCUUUGGCUCCUCCAGCAGAGUGGAGUGAAACGUAGAGGAAGGGCAGGCGAGCCUGUUCUCUCAAAGCCCCUGCUGCUUCCUGAGCUGCUACUCCAAGGCAGGGAGAGGAAUGGCAGGAUGGGGAUGCGGAGCAUCCCAGGAGGCCAGCCAGUUGGCUGGAUGCACUUCAAGCUGCACCUCUGUGGUGGCUGGGGGCUCAGGUGUGAGAAACCCCGUGAAGAGAUCCCCACCCUGGGUCCAACACAGGAAACCUUUGGCACAUCGGAGUUAGGUUAGGGAAGAGGCCACUGUAGGCCCUCGCCAGUGAUUUCAUUUAUAGGUUUCACCCUAAAACCCCCGGGCAGAAGGGCAUGGCUGCGCCUGCAGCCAGAAACAGAACCAACUAGUGGGAGAGGCAGUCAAAGGGGCAAGAGACCAGGACAAAAUUUUCCUUGCUGGCCCCAGCCUGGCUCAUGCCUCAUGACUUUGCAGCUGCGUCACCAAAUAUAAGUUUCCAUGGGAACCCAGGAGAGAAGGGGGGGCUUUUAUUUUAGCAUCUGAGUUCACACUCUCCUAGAGAGGAGGCGGCAUCGGCCAUCUGCUUGGGGCCAGAGAAUGAGGGGUGCCUGUGAGGAGUUGGGGAGAGGCCUAAGAGGGGUGGGCCUGGGCACAUAAGGUGUUGACAAAGACCUAAUUUCUUGUGCUUCCUGAAGCCUCUUCUAACCCCAGGACCCAAUACCGGUACAGAGUGUCCCAAACCCCAACCCCCAACCCCCAACCCACCCCGAGUAAAGCAGGAAGGCCUGGCCUGAGCCUCUCUGCCACCCAAAGCUCCUUGCUUACCUGCGUACAAACUUGGAGGUGAACUUGCUGAAGAUGCUCCCAGAGGCCCC
Molecule: long non-coding RNA, 3922 nt
Filed under: Homo sapiens (human)
Lineage: Eukaryota; Metazoa; Chordata; Mammalia; Primates; Hominidae
Description: HSALNT0176488
Source: RNAcentral